GUGAAUUCCGGCUGUGAAUCCGGCCUCCUCCUCUCACAAGGCGCUGAGGGAGCCUCUUUGGGACCCAUAACUCUAACUCCUUAUCUCCGGGGCCUCAGUCCCCUCAGGCAUUUUCACCGCUCUUCUUCCCCGAGAACACCUCCUCCUGGGGCGCGAGGUGCGCUAGUACCGGGUCAGGUGCUCCUGAUCAUCACCCACAGUCCAGGCCACUUCUACUACCGGUGGCGACAGCCGUGGUGGCGGCGGGGCGCACACAGUCAGCACCCUCUUCCUGCUCUGAGCCCAGCUGGGACACUUAUUCCACCUCCACACCCUCGCCCCAGCUGAGCGCCCAUUUUCUCAGCCAGGAUGCGGCCAUGCCCUUUCCCUCUGAGCACCAGCUGGUGACACAGUGCAGAAGCGGAGCCCCGGGGAGCCUGCAAAGGCGCGCUGGGUGUUCCUGUGCGCCGCAGCGCUUUCCCCAGUGCUGUCCCCGGAACCCGAAGCGCACGUGUGGGAGCAGCUCCCUAAGCCACACGCACACCCCAAGUUCUUGGCGCCGCUGCCUGGCCGGACUGGGGGUGCGCUGUGGGGAUGGAGACGUGGAGCAGCGCGGGGCGUAACACCGAGAGGGGCGGGUCCUACCCGCAGUGCUUUUCCAGGGCGCAGCUUCCCAAGCGCUGGAAGGAAGAGGCAGAAGUCACUACUCUCCGGAGUUUAUAUGGCAAACGAGGGUGAAAACGCUGCCUGCUGUCUGGGGGCAAUCGUGCUGGAAGUGGGGAGAGGUUACCCAGAAGUAUAAAAGUGGAAAAUUCAUUGCACUGUGUCCUUCUUUAUCUACUUUGACAGUUUUUGAGUUAAGGUACGUUUAUAUAAGUAUAGCCACCCCUGCCCCCUCUUGGUUUCCGUGUACUUGGAACGUUUUUUCCACUCCCUACACUUUUAGUCUACACAUGCCCCUACAGGUGAUGUGAGUUCCUUGUAGGCAUCAUAUAUUUGAGUCUUGGUUUUGUUUUGAUUCAUUCAUUGACUCUACCAUCUUUUAACUGGAAAUUUCAGUCUGCCUGUUUAUAUUUAAGGCAAUCAGUGUAAUAAGUAAGGACUUGCUAGUGGCAUUUUGAUGCUUGUAUUCUAGUUUUCUUGAUUGUUUCCUCCUUUCUUACUGUCUUCUUUUGUAGUUAAGGGAUUUUUUAGUUGUAUGUUUUGAUUCCUUGCUCUUUAUUUUUAGUGUAUCCAUUAUAAGUUUUUGCUUUGUGAUUACCACGGGGCUUGCAAACUACAUCUUAUAAAUACAAGUUAUUCUAAACAGAUAUUUUUGACUACAAACAAAAGAAAAAAAAUCAACAACUUAGGUUCACCCAUACACUCACACUUUGAAUUUUUAUGCCACAAUUCCCAUCUUUUUAUAUCACCUAGCCUUUAAAAAUUUCUCAUAGUUACAAUCUUUUUAAAUAGUUCUUUUAGCCUUCAUGUUAAGGCUAUAAGUGGAUUACAUUCUAUGGUUAUCACAUUGGAGUAUUCUGAAUUUAUUUGUGUACUUAUCUUUACUAGUGUAUUUUAUACCUUCUGCUCUUUGCUUUUUAUAUGUUAAAGAACUAUUCUAGCAUCUUUUGCAGGCCAGAUCUUGUGAUAAAUUCCCCACUUAAUUUCUGAAAGACAGCCUUCUUGGUUGGCAGUUUUUGAUCUUCAGCACUCUGAAUAUAUCAUCCACUGUCUUCUCAGUCUCCACUGGGAGGUAUGGUGUAAAGUGCACUGGGCAAACUGUAUGUAUUAUUUGCAUUUUUUUCCCCUACUGUUGCCUUG
This 1782-nucleotide long non-coding RNA is filed under the name Marmota monax (woodchuck). Lineage: Eukaryota; Metazoa; Chordata; Mammalia; Rodentia; Sciuridae. The record is from RNAcentral.